GACGAACUUGGUGCCCCGGCCUUCGGGCGGUUAAUUUUGGGCGCGGCUUUGCCCACGGCCUAUUUUCGGCGCACGGAGGCGCCUUGCAAAGUCUCGCGGCAUUCCGAGUCCGGCGGACGAAGUUGGCCAGCCCCACCCCCCACGGCUAUAGCCCACCCGUUUUUGUGGCCUUUUUCCGCUGGACGAACUUGGCGCCCCGGCCAUCGGGCGGUUAUUUUAGGGCGCUACUUUGCCCGCGGCCUAUUUUUGGCGCACGGGGGACCCUCGCAAAGCCUCGCGGCCUUCCGAGUCCGGCGGACGAAGUUGGCCAGCCCCACCCCCCAACGCUAUAGCCCACCCAUUUUUGUGGCCUUUUUCCGUUGGACGAACUUGGCGCCCCGCCCUUUGGGCGGUUAUUUUUGGACGCAGCUUCACCCGCAGCCUAGUUUUGGCACACGGAGUCCCCUCGCAAUGUCUCGUGGCAUUCCGAGUCCGGCAGACGAAGUUGGCCAGCCCCAACCCCAAGGCUAUAGCCCACCCGUUUUUGUGGCCUUUUUCCGCUGGACGAACUUGGCGCCCCGGCCUUCGGGCGGUUAAUUUUGGGUGCGGCUUUGCCCGCGGCCUAUUUUUGGCACACAGAGGCCUCUCGCAAUGUCUCGCGGCAUUCCAAGUCCGGCGGACGAAGUUGGCCAGCCCCACCCCCCAAGGCUAUAGCCCACCCGUUUUUGUGGCCUUUUUCCGCUGGACGAACUUGGCGACCCGGCCUUCGGGCAGUUAAUUUUGGGUGCGGAUUUGCCAACGGCCUAUUUUUGGCACACGGAGGCCCCUCGCAAAGUCUCGCGGCAUUCCGAGUCCGGCAGACGAAGUUGGCCAGCAUCACCCCCCAAGGCUAUAGCCCACCCAUUUUUGUGGCCUUUUUCCGCUGGACGAACAUGGCGCCCCGGCCGUCGGGCGGUUAUUUUUGGGCGCGGAUUUGCCCGCGGCCUAUUUUUGGCACACGGAGGCCCCUCGCAAAGUCUUGCGGCAUUCCGAGUCCGGCGGACGAAGUGGGCCAGCAUCACCCCCCAAGGCUAUAGCCCACCCGUUUUUGUAGUCUUUUUCCGCUGGACGAACGUGGCGCCCCGGAACUUGCUGCUGCUACCUUUCUAUAAAAUGCACUACAAAAUUUUAUCACUAGAUAACAUAAAAUUUUGAACCACGAACCUUUUAAACAUCCCACGGCCUAUUUUUGGCACACGGAGUCCCCUCGCAACGUCUCGCGGUAUUCCGAGUCCGGCGGACGAAGUUGGCGGGCCCCACCCCCCAAGGCUAUAGCCCACCCAUUUUUGUGGCCUUUUUCCGCUGGACGAACUUGGUGCCCCGGCCUUCGGGCGGUUAAUUUUGGGCGCGGCUUUGCCCACGGCCUAUUUUCGGCGCACGGAGGCCCCUCGCAAAGUCUCGCGGCAUUCCGAGUCCGGCGGACGAAGUUGGCCAGCCCCACCCCCCACGGCUAUAGCCCACCCGUUUUUGUGGCCUUUUUCCGCUGGACGAACUUGGCGCCCCGGCGUUCGGGCGGUUAUUUUUGGGCGCAGCUUUGCCCGCGGCCUAUUUUUGGCACACGGAGUCCCCUCGCAAUGUCUCGCGGCAUUCCGAGUCCGGCGGACGAAGUCGGCCAGCCCCACCCCCCAAGGCUAUAGCCCACCCGUUUUUGUGGCCUUUUUCCGCUGGACAAACUUGGCGCCCCGGCCUUUGGGUGGUUAUUUUUGGGUGCGGCUUUGCCCGCUGCCUAUUUUUGGCACACGGAGGCCCCUCGCAAAGUCUCGCGACAUUCCGAGUCCGGCAGACGAAGUUGGCCAGCCCCAACUCCCAAGGCUAUAGCCCACACGUUUUUGUGGCCUUUUUCCGUUGGACGAACUUGGCGCCCCGGCCUUCGGGUGGUUAAUUUUGGGCGCGGCUGUGCCCGCGGCCUAUUUUUGGCACACGGAGGCCCCUCGCAAAGUCUCGCGGCAUUCCGAGUCCGGCGGAUGAAGUUGGCCAGCCCCACCCCCCAAGGCUAUAGCCCACCCGUUUUUGUGGCCUUUUUCCGCUGGACGAACUUGGCGCCCCAGAACUUGCUGCUGCUACCUAUCUAUAAAAUGCACUACAAAAUUUUAUCACUAGAUAACAUAAAAUUUUGAACCACGAACCUUUUAAACAUCCCACGGCCUAUUUUUGGUACACGGAGGCCCCUCGCAAAGUCUCGCGGCAUUCCGAGUCCGGCGGACGAAGUUGGCCAGCAUCACCCCCCAAGGCAAUAGCCCACCCGUUUUUGUGGCCUUUUUCCGCUGGACGAACUUGGCGUCCCGGCCUUCGGGCGGUUAAUUUUGGGACCGGCUUUGCCCGCGGCCUAUUUUUGGCACACGGAUUCCCCUCGCAAAGUCUCGCGGCAUUCUGAGUCCGGCGGACAAAGUUGGCCAGCAUCACCCCCCAAGGCAAUAGCCCACCCGAUUUUGUGGCCUUUUUCCGCUGGACGAACUUGGCGUCCCGGCCUUCGGGCGGUUAAUUUUGGGACCGGCUUUGCCCACGGCCUAUUUUUGGCACACGGAUUCCCCUCGCAAAGUCUCGCGGCAUUCUGAGUCCGGCGGACAAAGAUGGCCAGCCCCACCCACCAAGACUAUAGCCCACCCGUUUUUGUGGCCUUUUUCCGCUGGACGAACUUGGCGCCCCGGCCUUCGGGCAGUUAUUUUUGGGCGCGGCUUUGCCCGCGGGCUAUUUUUGGCACACGGAGGCCCCUCGCAAAGUCUCGCGGCAUUGCGAGUCCAGCGGACGAAGUUGCCCAGCCCCACCCCCCAAGGCUAUAGCCCACCCGUUUUUGUGGCCUUUUUCCGCUGGACGAACUUGGCGCCCCGGCCUUCGGGCAGUUAUUUUUGGGCGCGGCUUUGCCCGCGGGCUAUUU
This 2893-nucleotide long non-coding RNA is filed under the name Citrus x clementina. RNAcentral describes it as "Citrus clementina (C. clementina) long non-coding RNA (CCLE_LNC006187)". Lineage: Eukaryota; Viridiplantae; Streptophyta; Magnoliopsida; Sapindales; Rutaceae. The record is from RNAcentral.